UACGUAGGGAGCAAGCGUUGUCCGGAAUCAUUGGGCGUAAAGCGCGUGUAGGCGGCCCGGUAAGUCCGCUGUGAAAGUCGGGGGCUCAACCCUCGAAUGCCGGUGGAUACUGUCGGGCUAGAGUACGGAAGAGGCGAGUGGAAUUCCUGGUGUAGCGGUGAAAUGCGCAGAUAUCAGGAGGAACACCAAUUGCGAAGGCAGCUCGCUGGGACGUUACUGACGCUGAGACGCGAAAGCGUGGGGAGCAAACAGG
Molecule: ribosomal RNA, 253 nt
Filed under: uncultured bacterium
Lineage: Bacteria
Description: partial 16S ribosomal RNA
Rfam family: Bacterial small subunit ribosomal RNA
Source: RNAcentral